Long non-coding RNA from Epinephelus moara (kelp grouper), 1842 nucleotides. RefSeq lists it as uncharacterized. The record is from RefSeq and is a predicted model, not a curated record. Lineage: Eukaryota; Metazoa; Chordata; Actinopteri; Perciformes; Serranidae. The transcript has 2 exons.
GUAAUGGAGCUGAAUUUUUUAACGUUACCUUUGUUAAAUGUUGCUGUUGUCCCUGGCUUCAUAUGAGUAGAGGAAAAAUCCGCUAGCUGCUAGGCUAGUUUAUACAAUGUAAAAUGCCAUAGGCUUGUGCUAAAAACGUGCAAGGUUGCUAAAUCAAGCACGACAUCACUGAGGUAAGUUUGUUUUUCAUGCUUUAUUUAUGCGUCCACAACACUGAAGUGACGUCACACUAUCACAAACUUUUCGCAGGGGUUCUGUGCCCUGGUUAUUCGCCUGUCCGUAAGUCGCCUGAUCUCUACAGUUUAAAUAUUGUUUUGUUCCAGGAAAACCCCGCGUGAAGUAUGAAAGAUCCAAACUUUUCCUCGUUGCGAUUUUCACCUUUUAAUUUCUGAGGAUGUGCACAAAGACGCAGCACACUAGAGGCAGCCAACAUGCGCACAUACUGUAUAUGUGUAGUUAACGGCAAGUAUAUCUGCAGCCUGUUCUUUGAACAGCUUGAAGUGUGUCAGAUGCUUCCUGUGACCAAACCUGACACCUGAAUUAGAUUUUUGGCAGAGUGUGAAUCUACAGGGUCUGAAUGACUCUGUCUCUUUAUUGCAGCCAGUCAAUGAUCAAUUAAUCGAUCAAGGCUUUUUUUCUUUGUCUCCUCUGAAAGUAAACUAAACGUCUUUGGGUUUUGGACUUUUGGUACGAUAUGAAAGCAUCAAAUUGAGCUUUGGGAAACUAAGAUGAGCAUUUUCAGUAUAAGUCAGAUUAAUCGAUGAAGAUUUUGCAGCCUGACUUUGCUUGCUUUAAAAUUAAAAUGUCAUUUUGUCUAAUGGACCUGUGCAGCUAUAGUGCAGAGGUGCAUUUUGACACAAAGUCCAGCUUUACAGGGUCAUUAAAGCAGCUACAUAUGUGUAAACCAGUGUUUAUCUAACCUGCAACCAUCAAUGAAUACUCUGAGAUAAACAGACCUAAAUUACCAAACGUUUCCAUGAUUAUAAUCCUGAUUCUUGACGUAAAACAGAGAAACUUAAAGCCCAGCUCAGAUUUGUGAAUGGCAGAAUUAUUAGUGCAAAAUUUAGAUGGCAGACACAUCAAUGUGACACAGAAACAUGUAAAGAUCUGCUGUAACGCGCAGCUUCAGUGUAAAGCCACAUGGAUUGUUCCCGUUCAUUUUCAUUGGUGCGACAGCUGUGUGUGUGUGUGUGUGUGUGUGUGUGUGUGUGUGUGUGUGUGUGUAUGGCUUAGACACAAAUGUGAAUCAACCAAUGCUUAGUACAGGAAUUGGCAGUCAGUCUGUAAAUCAGCAUUUAAAUUCAGUUUCUAAAAAUCCUCUUAGCAAAGACUUGAUGUGGAAACAUUAAUCGAACCAAACGGUGAUGAUCAGAUGAUCAGAUGAUCAGACAAGACGCAGGGACGGAGAGAAAAAACAAACGUACAAACUGUUGCAUAUAUUCGCCACAGGAGCCUGAAGCUGUUUGUGCUAUUGCUGUGUGAGCUAGUUUGGACUACAGUCUACAGUACGGAAUACUGCUCCACCCAGUGUGUGUGUGUGUUUACAUGCUCAUAGUCUCUGUCGUAGUUAUAGGAAACAUCCGCCCUGGUAAAAUCUGAACACUUAAAAACGUGAAUACAGUCGGUGGAAAUAAAACAUGGUCCGUUACGAAGUUCACAGAGGAAUUCAGAGGUGUAGGUGAGGUUUUAGGAGGACUGAAGCAUCAUAGUCACGUCACACACACACACAAAAUGUAAUGGUGCAUUCAGGCGCUCUUUGUCAACUCUGAAUGCCUGAAAUCGGUUUACCGCUUAUAAACUUUACUGUAUUAGCUGAUUUGACUUUUUUCUGGGUCAGAAUUU